RNAcentral lists this ribosomal RNA (241 nucleotides) under uncultured bacterium. RNAcentral's name for it is "partial 16S ribosomal RNA". It matches the Rfam family "Bacterial small subunit ribosomal RNA", at positions 95 to 334 of the family's 1533-position model. The record is from RNAcentral.
UUGGCGAACGGGUGAGUAACGCGUGAGUAACCUGCCCUGGAGUGGGGGACAACAGUUGGAAACGACUGCUAAUACCGCAUAAGCCCACGGCCCGGCAUCGGGCUGCGGGAAAAGGAUUUAUUCGCUUCAGGAUGGACUCGCGUCCAAUUAGCUGGUUGGUGAGGUAACGGCCCACCAAGGCGACGAUUGGUAGCCGGACUGAGAGGUUGAACGGCCACAUUGGGACUGAGACACGGCCCAG